Molecule: ribosomal RNA, 393 nt
Filed under: uncultured bacterium
Lineage: Bacteria
Description: partial 16S ribosomal RNA
Rfam family: Bacterial small subunit ribosomal RNA
Source: RNAcentral
AUACGGAGGACGCGAGCGUUAUCCGGAUUCAUUGGGUUUAAAGGGUGCGCAGGCGGCCGUGCAAGUCAGCGGUGAAAGCCCGGGGCUCAACCCCGGAAGUGCCGUUGAUACUGCAUGGCUGGAAUGCGGUCGAGGCGGGCGGAACGGGGCGUGUAGCGGUGAAAAGCGUAGAUAUGCCACAGAACGCCGAUAGCGGAGGCAGCUCGCCAGGCCUGCAUUGACGCUCGGGCACGAAAGCGUGGGGAUCGAACAGGAUUAGAUACCCUGGUAGUCCACGCCGUAAACGAUGGGCGCUCGUCGUCGGCGGCAGACAGUCGGCGGCCAAGCGAAAGCGAUAAGCGCCCCACCUGGGGAGUACGGUCGCAAGGCUGAAACUCAAAUGAAUUGGCGGGG